This is a long non-coding RNA of Xenia sp. Carnegie-2017, 399 nucleotides long. RefSeq lists it as uncharacterized. The transcript is spliced from 2 exons. The record is from RefSeq and is a predicted model, not a curated record. NCBI's taxonomy places the organism in Eukaryota, Metazoa, Cnidaria, Anthozoa, Malacalcyonacea, Xeniidae.
AGGGUCUUUCACUUCGAUAACCCUAUUUGACCGAGCUGUUCGUCUGGGAAAGGUGAAAGUCUGUUGAAAGUCGAAGACAGCCUUCAAGAAAUGCGACUACUUGUUGGAAAGGACGAGCAACUGAAGACAUGACACGGUUGAGAUAUUUUAGCCAUGUUUGAAAGCGGCAGGUUAAAUACAGAAAAAUCGUCGAUGACAUAAAGAUGUACAAGAGAUGAAGAUCAGGAAGAAGAUAGAGGAGUACGUUAUUAUUUUUCCUGUCCUAAUCUUAACUUGUUUUUAGAUUUUUCGUUUAGAUGAGGAGGAGGCUGAUGAAAAGAGAGAGGAUGCUGACGGAGAGACAAGAAGAUGCUGAUGGAGAGACGAGGAUGCUGAUGAGAGAAAAGAGGAUGCUGAUGG